This 308-nucleotide long non-coding RNA is filed under the name Zalophus californianus (California sea lion). RNAcentral's name for it is "lncRNA (ENSZCAG00015008468.1)". The record is from RNAcentral. Lineage: Eukaryota; Metazoa; Chordata; Mammalia; Carnivora; Otariidae.
AGCAACUGUGCCCUUCCUGGUGCAGCAAGAUCUGCCUUCUGAGAUAUCCUUCUUUAGGGAUACCAGGGAAAAUGGCCACAGGGUGCCGGAAAGCCAGGGUAAUGGUGAGUGUUUUCUGUAUUUCCACACUGGCUGUGUCAGGAUAGACUCAUUUUCUUAUUCUGGCUGCCUUGUUGGUACCUGGCAGAGUCUAGCAUUAGUCUUGGAGUGAUUUACUUUACCUGAAGCCUGUUCCAUCUAUGAUUUAAGUCACUCACCAAGUGGCUAACCCUGAACAACGCACAGUUCUACAGGACAGGAGAGAGUCU